Molecule: ribosomal RNA, 497 nt
Filed under: uncultured bacterium
Lineage: Bacteria
Description: partial 16S ribosomal RNA
Rfam family: Bacterial small subunit ribosomal RNA
Source: RNAcentral
GACGAACGCUGGCGGCGUGCCUAAUACAUGCAAGUAGAACGCUGAAGCUUGGUGCUUGCACCGAGCGGAUGAGUUGCGAACGGGUGAGUAACGCGUAGGUAACCUGCCUGGUAGCGGGGGAUAACUAUUGGAAACGAUAGCUAAUACCGCAUAAGAGUAGAUGUUGCAUGACAUUUGCUUAAAAGGUGCAAUUGCAUCACUACCAGAUGGACCUGCGUUGUAUUAGCUAGUUGGUGAGGUAACGGCUCACCAAGGCAACGAUACAUAGCCGACCUGAGAGGGUGAUCGGCCACACUGGGACUGAGACACGGCCCAGACGCCUACGGGAGGCAGCAGUAGGGAAUCUUCGGCAAUGGACGGAAGUCUGACCGAGCAACGCCGCGUGAGUGAAGAAGGGUUUCGGAUCGUAAAGCUCUGUUGUAAGAGAAGAACGAGUGUGAGAGUGGAAAGUUCACACUGUGACGGUAUCUUACCAGAAAGGGACGGCUAACUACGUG